GGUUUCUAGUCUGGCAUCACUCUUUUUCUAGUCCUCCCAGAAAGGCAUUGGUUGAGACUGAAGCACAAGAUGGCCUCCUCCUGGGAACAUCAAAAGAAGGGGGAAAAAAUGCCUUCCUGACCUUGAUGUAUCUUCUCAUGUCCACCUGCUUACACUCAGGAUUUAAGAUGAGGCAGCAGGAGCAUGCAUUUGCAGUACAAAUAAAGGAAAAAAGAACAGGUAUCCAUCAAAGAAAACUCCACAGCAAAAUGACUGGGUCAUGCUACAACAGGAAAUCCAAAACAAAAGAAUGGUAACUUUAGAAUAUUUGAAGUCUGCGAUACGCUAUGUUCUUCUUUUGUUUUCAACUUCCAGACUAACGGAUCAAAAGACUUUUUUUUACAAACUAUGUUCUGGACUUGGUUGAUGUGGAGGCAUUUUUUUACGGACAAGUCUACUUGCAAGGAGAGCAUUUAUUUUAAAUCACUCUACAUUCGUUUCAAAUGAAAAAUAUUCAGUUCGCUGGCUAAGAAAUAACCAUAUUCUGUGGAAAGAUA
Molecule: long non-coding RNA, 536 nt
Organism: Pantherophis guttatus
Lineage: Eukaryota; Metazoa; Chordata; Lepidosauria; Squamata; Colubridae
Source: RefSeq, a predicted model, not a curated record